Molecule: ribosomal RNA, 165 nt
Filed under: uncultured bacterium
Lineage: Bacteria
Description: partial 16S ribosomal RNA
Rfam family: Bacterial small subunit ribosomal RNA
Source: RNAcentral
AGUAAUCGCGGAUCAGCAUGCCGCGGUGAAUACGUUCCCGGGCCUUGUACACACCGCCCGUCACACCAUGGGAGUUUGUAACACCCGAAGUCAGUAUCCUAACCGCGAAGGGGGGAGCUGCCGAAGGUGGGAUAAGCGACUGGGGUGAAGUCGUAACAAGGUAAC